GGGUCUGUAGCUUAAUUGGGAAAGCACCAAGCUUGCAACUGGGUAGAUGUCGGUUCAACUCCGAUCAGUUCCA
Non-coding RNA from Lyngbya sp. PCC 8106, 73 nucleotides. The record is from Rfam. NCBI's taxonomy places the organism in Bacteria, Bacillati, Cyanobacteriota, Cyanophyceae, Oscillatoriales, Microcoleaceae.